AUGAAGCUGGAAUCGCUAGUAAUCGCGAAUCAGAAUGUCGCGGUGAAUACGUUCCCGGGUCUUGUACACACCGCCCGUCACACCAUGGGAGUCAGUAACGCCCGAAGCCGGUGACCCAACCAAUUCAGGAGGGAGCCGUCGAAGGUGGGACCGAUAACUGGGGUGAAGUCGUAACAAGGUAUC
RNAcentral lists this ribosomal RNA (183 nucleotides) under uncultured bacterium. RNAcentral describes it as "partial 16S ribosomal RNA". It matches the Rfam family "Bacterial small subunit ribosomal RNA", at positions 1320 to 1500 of the family's 1533-position model. The record is from RNAcentral.